CAAUAAAGAGGCCAAUAGCCCAAAAAAAGAGGCAAAGAAAAGAGACAAAGGCCCAAGGAUUCCUAGGAUGUAAACAGCUCGACAACUGAAGUCAAAAGCUAAAAAGCUGUGAGGUAUACUAAAAAUAUAAAAAAAAUUUUUAAAAAUAAAAAAAACUCACACAAAGUACAACGGACACAGUAACACAACAAGAUUUAUAUUGACUUCUUUAAUUUCCUUUUCAUUUCUUGAACCCAUUAUAAAAAAGUGCAAUACACAGUUAAAUACAUUUUAAAAAAAAGGAAUCUCCCAGAACUAUAUGUCAAUAACAAACACACCCAAAAAUCAUCUAUAGUCUGUUUUAAGGCAGGCCUGUCCCUAUGAUAUGGUCUAUCACUUCUGAAGAAAUUCUGCUAACAAAUUUUUCAUAAGUUUAUGAAUGAAUAGUGUAUCGUAAUUAUAAUGUGUCUAUUUGACCAGUUUCUUAAAGUAAUUGAAUGUAAAUUGUUAGCUAAAUGUUGACUUCUUAAUGGAGUGACUAAGUGUAAUAAAAUUUAAUGACAUUGAAAUAUAAUUCUAUAACACUUUUAUGAAAUUUGAAAGAGUUAAGAAACAAACAUGCUUAUGAAAUGCAUCAUGACAUGUUGAUAAUAUUUAUAUGACAAAGGGAUACUCCUCUUCUACUAAUCAAUAAGGCUGAUAAUUAAGUUAUUACAUCUGAAAUUAUCAAAGCAUAUUUUAAGAUCAAUCUGAUAGACCCAAGUGAUUAUUAAAAAUCGCCCCAAAAGAUUUAAAAGAAAAAAAAAACUAGUUUAAUCAGCGCUGCCUCUACACAUAAAAUAAUAAAAAUUGUCUACACUUAGUGAUAAAAAUAUUUUUUUUAGUAGUUAAGGCCCUUGAAUGGCUAUUUUUUUUUAAAUGUCAUCAGCAACGACUGAGAAGCAAGGUGAAACAAUGCCAUUCCUCCAGUAAUUAUCUAACUCAAAAACAAGCCUUACAAAGACAUAGAGAUAGAGAUAGAUGGAAAAACUAGUCCAAACAAAAAGAUUUUGAGUUUUAUUAAGACUCAUGUUUUGCUGUAGCGUGACACAAUUACACACAGGAUGAUAUACAGCACAACUAGGAGAGUGGUGGGUGCCCAGCUUGACAAGGUCAUAGAAGCAAGAACUAAUUCAAGUUUUUGCUUCCAUAAAAUUCUAGGUCAGUGCAACAUUUCAGGUCAAUGAUUAAGUUAUUAUGUACAUUAUAUACAAUACAUGGUAAAUGGAUAUAAAGUUCAAAUGUGGGAUCAUUCAAAUGACUUUGGGAGUAAAACUUAUCACAUGAUAAAAGAUAAAAAUAUGAACAUAUUAUUCCAACUAACUAUAUCUAUAUAUAUAUAUAUAUAUAUAUAU
Molecule: non-coding RNA, 1373 nt
Organism: Biomphalaria pfeifferi
Lineage: Eukaryota; Metazoa; Mollusca; Gastropoda; Planorbidae
Source: the annotation of a GenBank genome assembly